GUGGAUCAUGCUCUCGUUGUUCCUCCCUUGUAGCUUGAGGCUGCGUUGUCCUAUGGGCAGUGCACUAAGGAAGGAGUUUGCGACACUGAGGCAAGUUGACCCUAUGGCUGUGCGUCGGGCACCCGUGGAAAUGCUUUGUAACCCAGCACUGCAAGAGGUGUUGCCAGCUGAGCUUGGCAGGUGCUGCGCCUGGGACCCGCAACAGCAGAAAACGUGCGCUUCACCCAGCAUAGCUUCCCCUCGGAGAGGAGUUCAGCUACAACGCCAGGCUGAAGGAACUGCUGAAGCACAGGCACGUG
Long non-coding RNA from Dromaius novaehollandiae (emu), 299 nucleotides. RefSeq lists it as uncharacterized. Lineage: Eukaryota; Metazoa; Chordata; Aves; Casuariiformes; Dromaiidae. The record is from RefSeq and is a predicted model, not a curated record. The transcript has 3 exons.